AUGGCUGUCGUCAGCUCGUGUCGUGAGAUGUUCGGUUAAGUCCGGCAACGAGCGCAACCCACAUCCCUAGUUGCCAGCAGUUCGGCUGGGCACUCUAUGGAAACUGCCCGUGAUAAGCGGGAGGAAGGUGUGGAUGACGUCAAGUCCUCAUGGCCCUUACGGGUUGGGCUACACACGUGCUACAAUGGUGGUGACAGUGGGUUAAUCCCCAAAAGCCAUCUCAGUUCGGAUUGGGGUCUGCAACUCGACCCCAUGAAGUCGGAAUCGCUAGUAAUCGCGUAACAGCAUGACGCGGUGAAUACGUUCCCGGGCCUUGUACACACCGCCCGUGGGGCGGGGGCGCGGGCCGGGCGCGGGGCGCGGCGGGCG
Molecule: ribosomal RNA, 369 nt
Filed under: uncultured bacterium
Lineage: Bacteria
Description: bacterial SSU rRNA
Rfam family: Bacterial small subunit ribosomal RNA
Source: RNAcentral